Molecule: long non-coding RNA, 342 nt
Filed under: Mus musculus (house mouse)
Lineage: Eukaryota; Metazoa; Chordata; Mammalia; Rodentia; Muridae
Description: long non-coding RNA chrX:66025548-66025890
Source: RNAcentral
AUGGCCAGGAAAAGACAAAGGUGAAGAAGACAGAACAUAACCAGCUCCAAGAGAGCUGAGUUUCAAUUUCCCGUUAGUCUUGUAGAUUGUAUCCUACUAGAGGGAAACUAUUCUAGACACCUGAGCUUUUCUGCAUCUGUAUUCGUCUCAGGUGUGCUCGAGUAUGUAACUUCAUAGAACAUCCUUGAACUGGCUGGUGAGGUGGCCCACAACACUGGCAGGAAGUGCAUAGCUCCAGAGCAUGUAUUAUGGUGAGUGGUACAGAGCAACGACCAGCUCCACCAAUUAUUCAAACCAGGUGGCACAUCAGUGUUUGAGCCACCAGAACCUGAUGACAACUGA